GAUGGAAACUAGUGACCUAUUUCACCAACAAAUUAGUUACUUGGCCAGUUGACUUAAGUGAUAUUGUAGGUGACCCCGGUUCUUUUUCAAUUUUUCGGGCUGGUUUAUCGGGUUGUUUUGGGCUGUUUGGCCCUCCCAAUUAGAUUUUCUUGCUUCAGUUCUUCCUCUUUUUUUGUUUCCUUGUUUGGUUUUUCUCCUGGGUGGAGAUCGUUGUUUGUCUUUGUAUUGUUUUGUCCUGUGACCGCUUUGCUAAUCCCUCUUUGAGUAUGGUGGUUCGUCCAGACGUGGUCACUUUGGGUCUGGGAAUUUCUGGAACUCCACAAGCUGGGCUCUGUCUUCUUUUGUUUUUCUUUGCUUUUGUGUUCUUUUUCUUUGGUUUUGGCUCUCGCCUGGGUUCUUGUGUCUGCUUUCUUUCCCCCGGUUGGGGUCCUUGUGUCUUGUUUGUUUUCUGUUUGGGUUUUGAUUCUCGCCUGGGGGCUUGAGUCUGCUUUCUUUUCUUUUGGUUAUAUGUCUUCUAAACAUCAUAAUU
RNAcentral lists this long non-coding RNA (529 nucleotides) under Androctonus crassicauda. The record is from RNAcentral. Lineage: Eukaryota; Metazoa; Arthropoda; Arachnida; Scorpiones; Buthidae.